AACGAACGCUGGCGGCAUGCCUAACACAUGCAAGUCGAACGAGACCUUCGGGUCUAGUGGCGCACGGGUGCGUAACGCGUGGGAAUCUACCCUUGGGUUCGGAAUAACUCAGAGAAAUUUGAGCUAAUACCGGAUGAUGACGUAAGUCCAAAGAUUUAUCGCCCAAGAAUGAGCCCGCGUAGGAUUAGCUAGUUGGUGGGGUAAAGGCCCACCAAGGCGACGAUCCUUAGCUGGUCUGAGAGGAUGAUCAGCCACACUGGGACUGAGACACGGCCCAGACUCCUACGGGAGGCAGCAGUGGGGAAUAUUGGACAAUGGGCGAAAGCCUGAUCCAGCAAUGCCGCGUGAGUGAUGAAGGCCUUAGGGUUGUAAAGCUCUUUUACCCGGGAUGAUAAUGACAGUACCGGGAGAAUAAGCUCCGGCUAACUCCGUGCCAGCAGCCGCAGUAAUACGGAGGGAGCUAGCGUUGUUCGGAAUUACUGGGCGUAAAGCGCACGUAGGCGGCUUUGUAAGUAAGAGGUGAAAGCCUGGUGCUCAACACCAGAACUGCCUUUUAAACUGCAUCGCUUGAAUCCAAGAGAGGUGAGUGGAAUUCCGAGU
RNAcentral lists this ribosomal RNA (600 nucleotides) under uncultured bacterium. RNAcentral describes it as "bacterial SSU rRNA". It matches the Rfam family "Bacterial small subunit ribosomal RNA", at positions 28 to 674 of the family's 1533-position model. The record is from RNAcentral.